UUUUGAGCUCACUAAAACACUUUUCUCAUACUUUCAAUUUGAAGAAGACCAUCUUAAAUUCAGAAAAACCAAAAACAAAAAAAAAAUAGAAUUCAAAAAUCAAAAAUAGGAACUACUGUUUCAUUGAGAUCCAAGUUUAAGUUCAAGUCCUUUUGAGUAUUUGAUUAGUUCAUUUGAUAGCUAUUGGUCGAUUUCGAGGCGUAAUUUAUUGGUGGAAUUUUCUGGGUUGGUUUGAGGCUAUUUGAGUUUGCGUUGUGGUGUUAUCUGGGCUUCUAAAAAAAAUCCUAGGUUUGAGGCAUUCUCUUGGCUGUUUUAUUUUACUACUAGAGUUAAUUCUAUCACUCAUAUUGUGGGAAAUUAGUUGAUUGUUGCUGUUGUUGCACUGAUUCGCUGACCUCCUCUUCUUCUUCUUUGAAUCCUCAUCAUCCAGGAACUUGUUCGAAAUUGGCUAGUGUGCGUUGUUUGAAUUGAAGCUGGAAUGAAAUGGCUCGUAUGGAGUUUCGUGCAUUAGAAUUGUUUGUAGAGUUGUAUAUCUG
This 536-nucleotide long non-coding RNA is filed under the name Nicotiana benthamiana. RNAcentral's name for it is "long non-coding RNA (NBEN_LNC040061)". Lineage: Eukaryota; Viridiplantae; Streptophyta; Magnoliopsida; Solanales; Solanaceae. The record is from RNAcentral.